Long non-coding RNA from Panicum virgatum (switchgrass), 1015 nucleotides. RefSeq lists it as uncharacterized. The transcript has 2 exons. Lineage: Eukaryota; Viridiplantae; Streptophyta; Magnoliopsida; Poales; Poaceae. The record is from RefSeq and is a predicted model, not a curated record.
UGUGAUCUAUAUAUCCCACCCUUCUAGGGUUUGGAGGAAUACAAGCUAUUAUUCUCUCCUAUAGUUAUCCUGAAUUUGAGCAGCAGCCCUGCCCUCGUGAAGGAAGUGGAAGCUGCGUUGGCCCUGGCCGCCCAGUGAAGGAGCUUGGUCACCACCGGAGACGAGGACUACAAGUGGGGCAUCGACUAAAGUGAUCAGCCUGCGAAUGGAAUUUGUGAUUUUUGUGCUUCGCCUGAGGAAUAGCAGUGAAAAUAUGAAAUCCAUGGGGGAAGAAGGUGAUUUGCAGAAUAGGAGAGGAUGUUCAUAGGAAAGAAAUACCUCAUUUCAUUUUGCUCUUUUAACGAUUUCACAUGUCAUUUAAUCAAUCCAUACUAUUUUUGUUUUGGAUCUGGCCAGUGAUAAAUGCAUACUGUUUUCAUGGCAACAUUUCUAGCCCGCUGUCUGUAUUAUAAAGCUGGUUUUCCUGUUGCUUGAUUGCAUUGUGAACACCUUUAGGGGAUAUCGAAUCUCUACCAUUUAUCAAAGAUUUCAUGUCAAUUGUCCUAUACUAUCGUGUGAGAAGCUUCAUACAUUCUGAUGCAUACAAUUUCCAUCUUCAAUUAGUAUUCAUGAGUGGUGAUCUCACUUCUAUAUUAUUUGGUUUGACAUUUAACAGGUAGUGGGAACUUCAUAUUCUUGUGACAAUGCUUCUCAAAAUUUUAGAGAGUAAAAGAAGAACUGAGCCAUGACAGGAGUCCCAGCAAUACUAUCUCAACAUACCAACAAGCUAAAGCUAAUUUCCUGAUAUUGUGACUGAGUAGAGAUGUUUGGGAAAUUGGUACUCAAUAGUCAAUGCUCUUUUUAACAUCCAGAGUGAUUGGCAGUAAUAUUUGAGAAACUUGGAGCCACGGACACUUAUAACAUGUCUUUGGAUAAAGCUGGGAUCGGAGUAGUAAUAGCAUAACUUGAAACUAGUAGUAGUACUAGCAUAACUUGAAGUUCUUUCAGCAAGAGUGGCAGGUCCAAAUUUGUCCUA